UUUUAGUUGUUCUACUCUAUUCAUGAUACAAUGUUGCGUGUUCACAGUUACGUUCUGGGGAAAAAAGUUUUUGAAAUUUCCUGGCACACUUGCCCAUUCUAGCGUCUGAAACCCAGAUAUGUGUCUACUUGUAGUGAACCUGACGGCGCCUCCAUGGCCGAAGUCCAAAGCAACGCGGUUUACAGUUCAAAUCUCAACGGCCCUCACGUUUGCGGCCAAUGCGGGACGACCUUCAGCCGCCUGCAUCACUUCCGCAGGCACCUGGCCAUGCACCUGUACUGGGAAGCAAUCGACGAGGAACGCGGUGCAAAAGUCGAGGAGAAGGCGCAGCCACUGGACCACCAGCAACUCCACGACAAAGCUGAUCUAGACGCUGGUCGGCGACGACUUGACGAAGCCGAGGAACGCCGGGAAGCCUGCGGACAGCUCCCGGGGAAGAGACGGAAGGCAGAUGGCGUACAAGGCACCAGUCGCCCAUUGACACGUAGUUACAGAAAGAUAAUUUUAAGGAAACGAAUAAAGAGAGAACUCUGACUGAAAUUGCACUCGUAGAAGUGUUCUUCAAGCCCUGCGAUUUCAUUUAAAAGGACCAAUAAAGAAAAGAGCCAAAUUCUA
This is a non-coding RNA of Dermacentor andersoni, 615 nucleotides long. Lineage: Eukaryota; Metazoa; Arthropoda; Arachnida; Ixodida; Ixodidae. The record is from RefSeq and is a predicted model, not a curated record.